This is a non-coding RNA of Phyllosticta citribraziliensis, 108 nucleotides long. The record is from the annotation of a GenBank genome assembly. Lineage: Eukaryota; Fungi; Ascomycota; Dothideomycetes; Botryosphaeriales; Phyllostictaceae.
GGUCGCUUAGCUCAGUUGGUUAGAGCGUGGUGCUAAUACGGCAGUUCCUGUCCCCAGGAGCUUCACCAGUUAACGCCAAGGUCGCGAGUUCGACCCUCGUAGUGACCA